Long non-coding RNA from Xyrauchen texanus (razorback sucker), 478 nucleotides. RefSeq lists it as uncharacterized. The transcript has 3 exons. Lineage: Eukaryota; Metazoa; Chordata; Actinopteri; Cypriniformes; Catostomidae. The record is from RefSeq and is a predicted model, not a curated record.
AGCAUCCAUGCAGAAUAAUGAGGGAGGUAGAAUCUAGGCAGAGGUGUAAAAAUUGCCCUGCCUAAAUAAUACCCCCCUGUAUUAUAUAGGUGUUUAAGUCAAUAGAAUCAAAAGUGUUAUGAGACAUAAAGUGCCUCUUGUGUCAAUGCAUUUUACCUAUUUGUAUGACUUUUUGAGCAUCCAUGCAGAAUAAUGAGGGAGGUAGAAUCUAGGCAGAGGUGUAUACAAUAGUGCUGCCUAGAUAAUACCCCCCUGAAUAAUAUAGGUGUUUAAGUCAAUGGAAUCAAUAGUGUUAUGAGACAUAGAGUGCCUCUUGUGUCAAUGCAUUUUACCUAUUUGUAUGACUUUUUGAGCAUCCAUGCAGAAUAAUGAGGGAGGUAGAAUCUAGGCAGAGGUGUAUACAAUAGUGCUGCCUAGAUAAUACCCCCCUGAAUAAUAUAGGUGUUUAAGUCAAUGGAAUCAAUAGUGUUAUGAGACA